Molecule: long non-coding RNA, 13943 nt
Organism: Lagopus muta (rock ptarmigan)
Lineage: Eukaryota; Metazoa; Chordata; Aves; Galliformes; Phasianidae
Exons: 7
Source: RefSeq, a predicted model, not a curated record
GCGCUCAUUUCUUAAUCACCGUGCUGCAGGGCACCAAGCGCUGCACCUGGCAGUGGGAGGAGGUGAGCCAUCGCACCAGAUCCAUCCUCAGACAGAGAAGUAUUUUUUGAGACAGGGCUUCUAUUCACAAUAAUGCUGACUGACAUUAAUUAUCACUUAGAAACCCCUGUCAGCACUUCCAUUUGGCAUAGGAAUGGUGCCAGGAGGCAGCUCCAGCAGUAGGAAUUAACGCCCAGGUCCCCAGCGGCUGCUGCGGUGUUGUCCGCGACCGCACAUUGGUGGCAGCAGCGCACGGUGUUGCCCUCCCCUUUCCAACCCCUGUCCUUCCAAUCAGGUUUGCAGGCUCAAACCCUUGCUUCAUGAGCACGCAGGGUGAUUUAUAAUGGGCUUCAAGUGGGAGACGCUGGGAUGGCAGUUGCGGCGCUCCCUGCAGCUGGCCAAGCUCCCUCCCCACACAGCGAUCUGUGUGGCCGCACAGGAGGCACUUGCCCAUUAAAAUGCUGUCAGAGAUCGUCUUUCCGACUUAAAUCAAGGCUGUCGCUUUGGUAGGCGAGGGUUUUCGAGGUGUUUGUCUCUUCAUUCGUUGGUUGUUUUUGUUUUUUUUUUAUCCUGUCCUUUCCGUGUUGUUAUUGCUUCCAUUCCUUAAAGCACCGCAAAUUGCAAGCCUGUGGCUUGCCGUGAAGGCAUGCUGGUAAAUGAUUUAUAGAGGGUCCUACAAAUCAUGUUGCACUGAGCGCAACCCCUUCCCCCACAGCAACAGCCAUCAUUUCAGUGCCGUUCAGCCUUCAAGGGAGCUAAGCUGUCCUUUCCCUGCUGAGAUUUAGGAAGCCAAACAGCACAAUGCAGCUAAAAGUGAGAGUAAACAUGCCACAGUAACAGCCUGGCAUUUAAGUUUCAGCAGGGCUUAAGGUGGCCUUGCUUAUCAGUGGAAUUGUGUUAUGACACCAGCUGGCGUCCAUAUACAGUUUUGAUGCUUUUACAGGCACAAAAUAAAAGCCCAAUAUGUGAAUAGGACUUUGCAGGCUUUUACAGAAAGAGCUUUCUUCUGGGGGCUACACAUGCAGGCACUGCUCGAGCUGUCCCCUGUGCUCAGAAAAGCCUGCGUGAGGGCAAAAAGCUGCACGUGGCCCAAAGUGCCCCUUGUUCCCCACUAUGGGGACAAAGGCAUGGCACAGCCUUGACAAGUUUGUAUACAGGCAUACUUCCCUGAAAGCCAUUUCUCUAAAGUCUUUGUAGUUUUGUUUUUUGUUUUUUGUUUUUAAUCUCAAGCUCCUUUUCCUGCUUUACAUCAUGCUUUCCAUUUUAGAGAUGUCAGAUGAUCUGUGAUAGAGUGACAGGAUGUGCAGGAGCAGUGAGGAGACGAGGUCCAUUUUAAUGAGACUAACUCUACUGGGUAGUGCAGACCGUGCCUCGACAAGCCCUUGGAUCUUGUUUCCUUUUGCAAAGCGUCUUAAUGGCAUAAAAGGAUUUUUGCACAAAUAAGGAAAGGCAAUUCCCCAAACAGAUUUCUUUCAGUGGCCACUGAAAUGGAAAGCUGCCACCGAGAAUUGCAUGAUCCUCUCUAAGAGGUAAGCACAAUCAGAAAUCAGUAUUGCUUGGCUCCCAAAAAUGGACUGAAAUACUUUGGAAUUAGCAGCGUGUUUGCUGGAGGCUCACCAUUCACCCAGCAGGUCCUGCCUGCUGGCACUGAGGUGUAAUGACACAUAAUAUGGUCUGACCCAGCAUUGCUUACCUAUGACCCAUUCCUGCAGGCAGCCUGGAUGCAAAGCAGGAAGAGUGGGGACUUACAACGAGGUGCAAGGGAAAUAUGAGAAGGCCUCACGCUGUUCUCCUGCCUUUUGUUAUUUUGUCAGCUGAUCUUCCAAGCUGUUAUUAGAAUUUCAGGCAGGCUGGGGUCAUGCUUCACACUGGCUACCAGCAUCAGGUAAAUACAAAUGGACAACUAGUCCUGGUCAAAGUUGCAAGGAAGGGUUUCUAUCAAUGGUAUAUUUUCAACCUAGACACCGCUAGUUUAAUAUGUUCUGCAACAUCUACAGAGAAUCACUUUUAUGGGAUCUAUUUUUUAAAUCUUGCUUUCCAGGGAAGUACUUUUUUUUAUCUAGUAUUCUUUCCUAAGCUACUAUUGGAUCCCAGCACAUGAAUUCUAAGAUUUUCUGGGCAAUGUUGCGAAAAAGUGAGUAGAUGAACAGAAGAUGUAAAAUAGUCCCAACUGCCUAAGAGUUAGGCCAUCCACUCUGCCUGUUCUCUACUGAAAUGCGCAUUUGGGAAUGGUCUGUUCAGGUCUGCAGGAAAUCUUAUUUAGUUAUUUUUUAGUAUUUUUAAUAUAUAUAUAUAUUCUGAUCUUAACUUGCAUUUCUGACUACAGAUGACUCCUGUAUUUUUUUUUCAGGUAGGUCCAGAAUAUCACCCCAACUGUGAUCUAUUCUGGAGCUUUCUCUCUGUACAUAAAAGUCAGAUUUAUAUAAAUAGAUGCAGGAAAUCCCAUAUAGCCAGUGAUGAGAGGAUGUUAACCAAUUUUUAAAGGCCCGAUCAGAACAACUACAGAGAAGAGGUCAAUACUAACUGUUAUUCCAAGUGUUAAUCUUAACUCCAAUAAUACUGAAUACUAAAACGGGUUCCCAGAUAAGAAUUGCAAAUCUCGCAUUUGAGAAGAAAGGAAGUGUGAUCCUAGAAAACAGAUGCAGAGCCCUCCAGAUCUCUGCAAGCAUCCAAUCUUUACGCGUUUGAUCGAUAGCUUUAGCAGUGGGACAGAUGUGUGAUGUAUUCACUUUCAGAUCUUUCUAGGGAAGGGAACAAAACAGCAUUAAAAUCUCCCGCCGCUCAUCAGUGAGUAGAUGGCAUUCUCCAUGGGAGGAGCAGGAAGCCUGCCUUGUGGACAGCCAUACCUACAGGUACCUUUUUAGAUUAUGGGAAAGGCAGGAAGGUGACAAAGCUCUGCUUUCCAUUCACUGGGACAACUGGCAAGGCAAAUGAACAGGGCAGGUGGGCAUGCACCCAGAAACUGAGGAGUGCUGGGGGAACAUCAAUAUCAAGAUGAUACCUGAGUUGAUGAAGCUGUGAUGGGCAGACCUGGCUCCCUCUCUUCUGACAGCUAGCAUAGAUAGCUUUUUCUGUUCUCUGUUGCACCUUUAGGGAUCCCAACCAUCACUAGCAGCAGCUUGGGGGCAAAAAAGCCCAGGGCCUUUGGGUACCACAGAUCUCAUCAAUAGAUCUUCAAACAGCAGGGAAAUGCCAGAGGCCAUAUGACUUACAGUCAGUGGCAAUUACUGUCCAGUGCCAUGAAAAUUGCUUGAAGAACAAGUUAGCAGCAUCAUAGCAACCGCCUGCUUAUGGGUUCUUUGUGUCCCUCUCAGAGCCAACCAAAGCAGCCCCCAGGCUUCCAUACAACAUGAUAUGGAGGAAAUUUCGGCGAAGCAUCAAAAAAAGCCUGCCUGCAUAGUGCACCUGGCACAUCUUUGAAGCCCUGAAAGGAAGUCUCUGUGUUCUGGUAUCACUUGAGCCUCCACAAAGGAGAUGAAAAGGAGGAAUAAAACAUCUGAACAGCCCUAUCUGGCCUGAGCUGCACACAUGCAUUACAGCAAAGAUGGAUUUCUUCUGGAUCCUCCUGUGUAUUCUCCUCCUUGGGGAUGGCAGCGAGCAUUUCAACACUCCAAUUACAGGAUGUUCAUGUUAAACAGAGAAGGGGGACAGCCAGUUGGUGACAAACAUUUAGGAUAUGGCAUCAGAAGAUCUGCACAACCUGCAGAAGGACCAACUGCAGUGAUCAUCAUGGCCCCGCUCCCCACAAGUCUUUGCCAUACAUCAACUCCUAGCAGGCAGCCUCACCAGGGCUUAAAUCCCCCCAGCUGCUGCAAAAUGGGACCAGAGGCCCCAGCUUAGCUGCAUCUCAGCCCCGAGCUCUGUGGCAUGGGGCUGCACCAGGAGCACUGCUCAUGCUGACCUUUGGAGUCUGCUUGAAAGCAUCUGAUGCUCAUGGCUGAGAGACGGCACAGUCCUUUCCAACUUCAUGGAGUUUUUGCCUUUGUUUUCUUCCCCACUCAAAUGGAAAUGAAAAUGCAGGCUAAGAAAAAUGGCAUUAAUAAUACAAACUGGGGGCCCUUGGGAGAAAAUUUCAGUUUUGGAAAGUCGCUACACUACAUGGAUGUGUCUUGCUAUCAGAAGUUUACCUGGAUUUUUUUGACUCUUCAUGCAUGCAUGUAUUUCUCUGCUGCCAUGCAUGGUCCUUUCUCCUUAUUUAAUUAGGGUACAAUCAUAAGCAUAUUCUUAAAUUAGAAGAAAUAUAUAAAGAUUCAUCCAUUCAGCAGGCAUUUUUUCUGGGAAAAUACAUGUUCUCCUUCAGGUACUGGCUUUCUUCAGUUUUGUUUCUCUAUUUUUAAUUUAAAGGAACUUCUCUUAUGUUUUAUUCACUUGUUUUCAUUAGGUAAAAGAAUGCCGUGGCAUGAAAACCUGUCCUGAAUGCACCGCCUGCUUGACAGAUAUAUACAAAGACUUGAAACCUGAGAGGAAAAGCGGAUGGUUGCAAGCAAAAAAAAAAAAAAUCUAAACAAAAGAAUGGAAUUAAAGCCAGCACCGGGGCACGUAUUAAUACCAUGCGGCUGUCAUUGCCCGCACUGAUUCCUAGGAGCGAUGCAGAGCAUUGUGCUCAGCAGGAUAAGACUGACAGACCUCGAAUAUGAACCCCCACUGCCUUCUAAAGAGGAUUUCCCAUGGCCAGUAAGUUUUGCUCAGGAGCUCAUCCCAGAAGAGGCAGGCACAAGGCAAGGACCCGGCAUGCUGUGGCAGGCACCAGUGGGGCACUGCUGGGCUCUGCAGCUCCAUUUUCCCCCCAGCCCAGGUGAUAUUAAGCAGCUCCCAGUGGGGCUGGAAAGUCUGAAGAUGUCUGAGGAAUGGAAGAAUGGCAAACAAUGAGAUUGCUGGCGAUAAAGCAAUUCUGGAAAACGUUUGGAUGAAUUUUCUUCAGAAGAUCCACUUCCCUGUCACCCCUGCCUCUCUGUGCUCUGCUGAUGUUACCCUCUGUAACAAAGAGGUCACCAGAAGGAAGAUGUGCAGGAAGGAGGACUGCUAGGUGGAUAUUCCUAAACAUCCAGCACACCGCCAGGCACAGGGCAGGAACAUGCUGCAUUAGUUCUGGGCCUGAGCAGAGUUAGACAAAAUAGCUUGAAAAAUGGAAUGUAUUUCUUUGUGGAGGAGUCUCAGACCUAACACGGAUGUCAUGAAUAGCUGAAAUUAUGUCUGAAUUUGAGAAGAAAAAAACCAACUUCCUCUGAGGUGUGUCUUGCAACUGCAAAUGAGGCAUAACUUGAAUAAUCUUAUCAACUAUGAUGAGCUGUUAUUAGCAUUUGAGUUACAUUUCCCUUGAAAAGUCAGGAGGGGCUGCGGCCCCAGAUUAGGGAUCCCUCCUGACAUGUAAAUAGGUAGCACAUAUGGAAAUGGAGUUGUCCCGAGUGUCACCACCUCGAGGUGAAUGAUAGCUAGAGGUGGAAGAGUGGAGAAUAAAUGUUACUGCAAGAAAAGCUGCUGAAUUUCCUUUUGAGAGACUGAUAAUCCCGCAGGCUUCUACAGAAGCAGCUUUUGAUUAUCAUUGCUGAUGAUAUUAGAAGACAUCUCUGGAGUCUGUCCUUUAAAAAAUGUUUCCCUGGUGCUACUUGAAAACAUAUGGGUUGGGAACUGAAGUGAAAAACUGAUGUUUUGCUAACUCUCUUGGCACGAUGGAGGCUUAAAAAUGAUGUGCCUGAUACCAGAGAUGCAUUUUUAACAGUAAAUGAAAGCAGACUGGAUAAAAAUUCAAAAUACUAGACUGGUAAAUGCAGAUGAAAGAGGGGCUGGUUAAAGGACCGGAUGAGAAAAGGUGGAUCAGUUUAGCUGGGCUGAACAGCAGAGCUAUUUGAGUUGCUUCGACACCCUGAAGGUGCAGACACACACCUGCAACUUACAGAGGGAGCUGAGUAAUCCAGGUCUAACAGUGCAUGUCCAAAUGCACCACUUUCCCAAGGGCUUCAUCAAGUAACAAAAUGGAGAAGCUCAGGCUGCUGCUCGUAUGGUAACAGCUUGGAUGGGGAAGGAACAGAAAGAUGGAGCCAGGCUUCUUCAGUCUAGAAUCUAAUCCAUGCCAGACAGUGGUCUGUAGAUGGCUGCGGUAUCUAACACAGGCACAGCACCUGGAGGGAAGUUCAUGCCCCCCAAUGGCUCUUAUCCAUAAAACUAAACCUAUUUCCAGACAACAUACGUUAAUCCUUAGAAGAUGUCGUGUACUGGAAUAAGUGUGUCUUAUACUGGACCUGGAUGAGGUUAGUUUUGCUGAUUCAAUAGAAUCAGAGAAUCAUUAAGGUUGGAAGAGACCUCCAAGAUCAUCCAGUACAACUGCCCACCUGCCACCACUAUUCCCCCUUUAAACCAUGUCCCUAAAUACCACAUGUACAUGUUUCCUGAGCACCUCCAGGGACUGUGACUUCACCACCUCCCCAGGCAACCUAUUCCAGCACCUGACCACUUUUUUGGAGAAGAAAUUUUUCCUAACCUGAAAAGGCUGGAUAGGUUAUAAAGACCAACCAAUCAAACACAAAAAAACAUUAUGCUGAUGCCACUGUAAUGUCUUCACUGUGAAAAAUGCUGGCCAUCAACAAGGGAAAAGCUAGACAGGCUUCAUCCCAUCAGCUCCACCAACUGUUAAAAAAUGAAUCUGUUGAAGUUGCUGCAGAAAAACUUCUGAAAAGAAGAUACUUUGAAAAAGUGCUGAAUCUGCAGAAUCAUUGCAUCUCUUGGCUGGUCAUGCAUUUUCUGAGCCUCUGCCAAUAAUUACAGUUUCUGAAAACUUCUGAAAGCAAACAAGCAUUCCCUUCCACGGCUUUCUGUUCCACCACUUUUGGGUCCAUUAGUCAGUACAUGCAUACCCCCACAGUCAGGCGACCAGCAGAUUGGUGCUACAAAACUGCUUUGCCUUCCAGAGUGUCAGGUGAUGAAAUUUAGGAGGCUUGGGUGUAUUCAUAAGAUCAAAUAGCCAACUGCUGACGAGCUAGGUAUCCUGUGCUAGCAUGGGAAGACUCACCACCUACUUAAUUUCUGUAACCAGGUCUGAUAUUUCCCCAGGAAAUGUUUAAUAAAGAUGCCAAAACAUUUUAUUAUACCUGAAUGCCCCUUAAUAAAGAUGCAUUUUUGGUAUAUGGUGGUUACAGUGCCUGCUGAAGCUAUAAAGUUCUGUGGCAUCCUGAAGAAAUGGUAGAUCCUAAAGACAGCUUUUGCUCUUAGCCACAACCAAUUAGCAGUAUCUAUUUCUGAGUUUUCCCCGGCCCUGUUUUAACAAUCUCUAACUAGGAGCUUAACCUCUGUUCCAAAAACUGACGUGGGUAAAAUGCACUUAACAUUGCUCACAAUUCUUACAACAGACAGAACAGGUUUUGCAUAUGGCUACACAGAGAAGUUCUAUUUCAGUGAUUUUAGGUGCCAGGAUUUCUCCAGUUGUGACUCAAUCCAUGACUUCCCAUUAAAAGAAGCCUUUAUGCUUCUUCAACCAAGAGGCAGGUCACGUUCUAAGACAAUUCAAACUAUUUUAUUCUAGCCUAUGUCUAAAUUGAACAAUAAAAACUGUUAUCCUUUAUGACCACCAACCAAUUAACUGACCUGGUGAUAGGGAAUUAAGUCAAUCUUCUUCCUUUGAAACGACAGCUGAAAUAGAGCAGUACAGUUCUUUGUCUCCUGUUUGAGAGCAGGAGAGGAGGAAGGAUUGGAACAGGAUGACCGACAGACAGAAAUCUUGCCCUUGUUGCAACACCAAAAUGCUUCCCAUUAACUUCUGGAUGCCGAGAUCUCCCCAUCAUGUCACUCUUUCUGGGAAGCCUUCAUAAAAUCAGGAUAAAUGACAGUGGAGUGUGAGGAGUGCUCCCCAGCCCCAUUGAAGGAAGAAAAUGGAAUGAAUGUUCAAUAAAUAUGGAAAAAAAUGGAAUGUUUGGAGUAAGGAUAAAUGGGCUGUGCUUCCACAGCUCACUUUUCCAGGCACAAUGCUCUCAUGGCUGCCAUAUGUGACAUGCUUUGUUGGAUCCUUCAGGACAACUCAGUCUCAGCUAGAAGAGAUUGCACCGAGCAACUUGGUUGGUGAUGCUUAGAAUCCAUUCUGUGCUGCUUCGUGGACAGCCCUAAACCCUGCAUACAUGGUUGGUGCAGAACUGCGAAGUCACAAAACCAGCUACCAGAGACAUACCUGAGGCAACAAAGAAAUGAAUUCAUGUCCGGCUACUGAGGGAAAAGUGCCAGUUAUUUGUGUAGUUAUGUACAACUGCUGCCCAGAAGUACUGCAAAGUGUCAAAUGUAAAUGCAGAGUGCAGAGGAGAUGUUGGUCCUACUGGCAGGGUCCUUCACAGCGCUCCCAAGUGCCAACAUCUAAGAACCAAGCUGAACUGGACACCAGGGCAAUGCCAAAGAGUGUUCACAGAUGGGCACAGCACAGGCAAAUGAAUGCUAAAGAAAAUCUGGUGGAUGAUGUGACUCUUCUUAACAAAGGAACUAUUGUUUGUUUUGCCCAAUUCUGCCCCCUGGAGCUUUCAUCUGAGCCUUGGGAAAGCAAGCUGCCGUGUCCAGCACUUGCUCCUGGCUGCUCUCUCCUUGCUGUCCCUGCCUGGUUCCCUCAGUGCAUUCUCCAACACUUGAAAAUUCACCCGACUUGUGACUCACAUUUUAAUCUUAUCCAAGUCACAAUGUUUAUUUCACAGGAUGCCCAAUUAAACAGUAAUUCAGCCUGCUCUGGAGUUGUUUCCUUCCCAUAUGGUGAUUGGUAUAACCUGAAUAAUGUAGGAUGCACAGAAGAAAAGGCAGAAAACAACUUCAGUGAUACUGGGAGAGCAAGCUACAACUUCUUCCACUGAAGAAGAGUGGAAAAGAGCAUGCACGGAAGUGUUAACAUGGGUCAUCAUUUCUGAUGCUCCCUGACUCCUAAGAAGAGGAGGGAAGGAUUUCAGACUGGGUAUCAGGAAAAACUUCUUCCUCUAAAAGAGUGGUCAGGAGAACAGGCUGCCCAGGGAGUCACAGUCCCUGGAGGCGUCCAAGAAACACGCAGAUGUUGUACUGAGGGACAUGGUUUAGUGGACAAGCAUUGGUGAUAGGUGGAUGGUUGGACUGGAUGAUCUUGGAGGUCUUUUCCAACAUUGGUGAUUCUAUGAUUCCAAGAUGGUGCUACCUGGGCAUGCAUAACAGAGUCCCCUUAAGCCUGGGGAGCAGGAUCAGGAGUGAGGCUGCAGUUCACACUAAAUGAAAGAAAAUCCAUGGCCCUGCUUUCCCUGUCCCACUUCUGCCCUCCACUGUAGCUACUGCAGGAAUGCCUGUACCUUGCACCUUGCAUCCAAGGUAUUAGAAUUCCUAUUAACCCUUCCAUCAGGAGCCAAUUAAAAAAAGAUGGUCACCAAUUUUUAAUCAUUUUGUGAUGGUUUAAUAAGCCUCCUGGAAUCUCUCUUCUGUCCAUACCGCAGCUCUCUGCUGCAUAAACUCACUGGUUUGUUGCUGUGCAGUUUCUCACAGGCUCCCAGGUGGUGAUAAAAGGAUAUGAAAAUAACAUCAAGUGGGGAAGAAAAGACAUUGACCCCAAAGACUCUGUUAUGACAAAUGGUGGUAAUAUGCAACAAUUUGGGGAACUUCUGUGUUUUUGCCUUGCCCAAAAUUCGGAGUAUAUGUUCAGGACUGCCUGCAGAAUUUCAGCUGCUGGGGGGCACUCCACCUUGAACGCUGCUGUGCUCUUAAAGUUAUAUCCCUGCACUGGAGCAGAGCUGCAUGGCCAUUUUGAGCAUGGAAUUAGUUAAGAUACACAGUUUGUACCUUUUUACUAUGAAACUGGGAUUUUUAGCUUGUUUUUCUGGUUACUGGUAUUGAUGGUUACAGAACACCCAUGUAAUUGCCAAGCACUGUUUCUAGCCAUGAAGAGCAAGCGGUCCAAUAAUUUAAUAAUGAUAAUUUAAAAAAAAACACAAUCAAACAAAACUAAUCCAAAAGAGGGUCUAUUUUUACUACAGCAUCCACAUCUAGACACCAGCAUUCAUUGUCAUUGAUAACAGAGAAGAAAAAAGUCUCCUAGACUUAGGAAAUGGUUUUAAAUUUUUAUGAGCUCUCUGUAAUGCCAUCCUCAGCUACUCUAGCUAAGAUGAAAUUGCAAGGUUUACCCACUGAUGUGCUUUGAGAAAUAAAUCAGAAACUAAUUGUCUGACAUUAGAGAAGAACUUGUUUUUACCUCCUCCCACCCUACUCAACAUAACUAUUUCUGUUUCCUUUAUACUGUGUAGUCAGUGUCAAUGCAUGUGAUGAGAGCAUAUAUGUUUAUUAUUACACUUGGAUUGAUCUUCAUUUGACCCAUGAAAUUGAUAUGCUUCCUGUGUGAGAGUUAGUCAGAGACAUACUUUAAUUCUUAUUAAACUAAACCUUUACCAGGGGGCAGGGAGAUUUCAAGGGAGUCUCUGCCAUGUAAAGAAAUCAUGCUGUCUUUCCAUAUAUGAAUCUAAGCACAGUCAGACCUCAGAUUGUAUAGAGCAAGAGAUGUGAAAUGAAUUAUGAGUACUGAGAGUUUGAAUAAUUGACGGAAAUUUCGAUGCAAUUAAUAAAAAGUAAAGGAUGUGAACUCGUUGCUGAUGAAUUAGGGUCUGUGGAUUGUUAUGGCAUGGUAAAUCCAAACGUCAGCCACCCCCCCAUUUUUCUCUGCUGUAAAGCAGCAAAGCCCGUGCUUCUAAUGCAGAUUUGUUAUGCUCUGGCAUAUCUAAUUUCUUAAACCAGAAAGACAAAGAUGACUGAUGCCAAAAAGUGGGAGGGUACAUUUUAAAAAUCCCAAUGCUAUUUUAAACGUGGGCUAAAAUGAGACUAUUGUGUGGUUAAAAUUUAUCUAGCAUCCUCUCUGGUUGAGGCAUAUCUUGUCAUAUAGAGCAGUGCUGUUAAAGUAGUUCAUGGGAAUGAUGUGCAUGACUCCUCUUGCUAAUGGGAGCUGUGUGCAUAGAACAAUUUAGCUGUUAGUGCUCUGAGGAGAACUUGAAUAGCAGGGGCUUGGAGAGGAACAAAACAAAAAGAAAGCUGCUAAGGGCAUUCUGAAAAUACACUUGCUAUUCUUUUUCUUCCCAAGCAUUGCUGCGGUAAGCAACCGCUUCAAAAUUCCUCUUUAAACAAGUGACAUGAAAAGGAAAAGAGCAUGACUUUGUAUCAACAGCCAUUCAGAACAGAGCGGGUCCCAAACUAACCUUGGGGGUAAGGAAGGCUGGUGGGGGGCAGGGUGCCGUGCAGCCGUUCCCUUUGGUUUGUUUCGCUUGGUUUGCCAGUAGUUUAGAGAAAGCAUCCCUCAUGGGAGCGUUCUGACCCAAAUAUCUGGGAUGCUGUACAGAACACCGGCAGGCCAGGAUUUCAGAAAUACAACUGCCUACAGUAAGGCACCCAGCAAAGCACUUGAAUAUUCCACCCGGCUCCCCACCCCCAGGCGAUGGGAUUGCUUAUGCAUUUAAGGCUAGAGUGCUUAAGAGCUCCCUUAUGUAUAGGUUGGAGAACUUAGACAUGGGUGCAGACCCGACCAUGAGCUGUCUGCUAUUGUAGAGCUUGGCCAGAGGGAGGCUUUCUGCAUUUGAUUGUUGUUUUUUUUUUUAAUCACUUUGCUUGUUGAGGAUUUUCCCAACCACGCUGUAUGCAGCAAGCUGCCUUUAAAUGCACUGCAAAGCACGAUUCUGAACCUUUCCUGAACCUUUUAAUUGUGGGGUAGGCUGCAGAUACACAGGUUGUAACAGGGCUGUGUACAGCUCCUAAGGUUAUGGCAAACACCUAGCAGACUAGAGAGCAGCUCCUUUUAAAGGCUCAGCUAAUUGCCAACUCUCCAUUAUUUCCCAGUCAAGCCUACAAAAACCUGGGAUAUUAAAAAUGCCAAAGAACAUUAUGGAAAUCACCAUCCUUUCCUAAAUGAUGCCAUAUACAUUUCUUAAUGAGUAAAAAGGUGGCUUCAGGUACCAGGAUGGGAUACAGAAAUCCUGACUCCAAUUCCUACUCCCACCAAAAGAUGUAUGUAUGGCCCUGGGCAAGCUACUGACCAUUCGGUUCCAAAUCUGUAAAAGGCAAUAUACUUUUCUGCCUUUUGAGUCAUGAGAGCCUAACAUCCAUUAGUAAUUGUGAGACGCUCAAAUGUUAAUUCUUAAGUGCUUAGAUACAUCAGUAGAAGAAUUUUCCAAAGAGAUAUUACUGAACAGAUCUGUGCAUUCUUUUUGGUAAUAUUCGUUAUAAUGUGUUGCUGUACAUCUUUAUUCCCAAUGUUUUAUUUAUUACAAAGUACUAAAGGUUGGGUUUCCUUACAGGAAUGGAUUGACUUGGAGGAGUUCCACAGGGAGUGUAAAUGUUUUCUAUGUCAGAAGAUUAAUAACAGGAAAAAGAAAAAGCUAAGGCUUCCAUUUGAUUGAGACAAUAAAUAAAUGCCUUCACUUUGGCUCCUGGUCUACCAUCUAGUUAUAAGAUUCUUAUGCUUGUUCAGUCUCAUUCUUAACUGCCACACUUUCUGUUUUCUUCCACUUCUAGAACUGAUGUACUAACUGCUGCCAAAAAAACCAACCAACUUUCCAAAGCACGUAACAAAUAUCGCUCCAUAUUUCCUGAAUUGAAUGUUACUGUGGGACAGCCUGUGACAUCUACAGGAAUGCCGACUUGCUAUUGAGUUGUCAGGUCCUGCCCAGGUCUGACUACUAGUGACAGGAGAGAAAAGAAUCCAAGCUACUGAUACAGGGUUAGCUUAAAGAUGAGGUCAGGCUGAUAGACAGGAAAAAGUAUUUAAAUUCCUUUUGAUGAAGCUGCGUGUUUCUCACAUAUAUAAAUCGGGGCUAAAUGUUCUGACUACAUUCCUGUAUCUUGUGUUACAGAUAUCUACUACAUCAUCCUGUCCAUUCCAUUCCUCAUCCUGGUUUCCGUUAUGCUCACUGAUGUGGUCUUCCUUCAGGGCUCUUUUUGUCUUUCAUUAAUAAUCUCUAAUCAUUAAUUACCUCUGUAACCCAGUAGAAUGUCUCCAUUUCCUUAAUCACUACUCUGAAAGUGUUUCAGGAGCUCUCCGAUUACAAGGCACUAAAUAAAAUGCAGGGUGUUAUUGCCACUAAAACCUUCUGUGGUUUUUAUACUGUUUCUAUGAAGGCUGCUCCAAAAGUAAUCCCUCCUAUUUUAUGACACUGGUCCAUGAAGUUGAGGUUGAACCUUCUUGCCAGUAUUCUGCUACAUUUUGUUGCUGUGAAAUAGAUGGCAGCUGAGGGGCACUCUGACAGAAUGGUGUUUGAUAUGGAUAUGUGCAUGAACUGUAAUUUAACUCCUCCCUACAGGAAAAAAUGGCACCCACUGACAUUUAUUAAUGCUUGCUGAACGUUUCUGGAGACCAAACAGUGAAUGUGAGCACAGUGAGGUGUUGGGUGGUGCAUUUCAGCUGUGGUGACAGCAACAGUGGGUCACCUCCACUAGUGCAGAUUUGUACAAGCGUGGUAUGCAGGCUCUUGUACAUCACCAGCAAAAAUACACAGCUAAUGGUUGUGACUGUAUUGAAAACUAGUGUUUUGUAGCUGAGAAUUUGUUCUAUCAAACUGUGUUAUUGUGCCCUUUGUAUCUGUUCCGGUUUACAUGGAAAUAAAUAGAAGGCAUUACUUUUGGAGCAUCCUACUAUAUAUCCCACUUGAUACUUGUCCUGUUCAUGCAGUACUUUGAUGCAGAAUUUGUAACACUGCACUCUGCUUUAUUACUCCCAGUGAUCCUUUUCUGUCCAUUCUUGGCUGGUACCCUGAACCACAGAGGUGCAGUGUUGUACUGGUAUCACUAAGGCACUUUAAGUCACUUUUCUGUAAUUUGGACUCUGAGCUGAUCCCAAAGAUUGCUCACUUUAUGAGCUAUAUCAGACUAAAGAGAGCUCUCUGUGGACAACUCUGCAAUUCAGAGCCACACGGAGUCCCUUUGGAGUGUUCUGCAACGCAGCCAAGUCAUAC